UGUCUAGUAUAGCGAUUUAUACAGUGAAACUGCGAAUGGCUCAUUAAAUAGAGAUAGGUUAUUUGAUAGUACCUACCUAAUCGGAUAUCCGUGGUAAAUCUAGAGCUAAUACGUGCUAAAAACCCCGACUGUUUGGAAGGGGUGUAUUUAUUAGAUAAAAAAUCAAUGCCUUCGGGCUCUUUGAUGAUUCAUAAUAACUUUUCGAAUCGCAUGGCUUUUUGCCGGCGAUGGUUCAUUCAAAUUUCUGCCCUAUCAACUUUCGAUGGUAGGAUAGUGGCCUACCAUGGUGGCAACGGGUAACGGGGAAUAAGGGUUCGAUUCCGGAGAGGGAGCCUGAGAAACGGCUACCACAUCCAAGGAAGGCAGCAGGCGCGCAAAUUACCCAAUCCUAAUUCAGGGAGGUAGUGACAAUAAAUAACGAUACAGGGCCCUUUCGGGUCUUGUAAUUGGAAUGAGUACAAUGUAAAUACCUUAACGAGGAACAAUUGGAGGGCAAGUCUGGUGCCAGCAGCCGCGGUAAUUCCAGCUCCAAUAGCGUAUAUUAAAGUUGUUGCAGUUAAAAAGCUCGUAGUUGAACUUUGGGCUUGGUUGGCCGGUCCGUUUUUAUGACGUGUACUGGUCCCAACCGAGCCUUUCCUUCUGGCUAACUAUCCUUUCGGGGGUAGCGAACCAGGACUUUUACUUUGAAAAAAUUAGAGUGUUCAAAGCAGGCCUUUGCUCGAAUAUAUUAGCAUGGAAAUAAUAGAAUAGGACGUUUGGGUUCUAUUUUGUUGGUUUCUAGGACCAUCGUAAUGAUUAAUAGGGACGGUCGGGGGCAUCAGUAUUCAAUUUGUCAGAGUGAAUUCUUGGAUUUAUGAAGACUACCUACUGCGAAGCAUUUGCCAGACGUUUUCAUGAUCAAGAAUCGAAGUUUAGGGG
Molecule: ribosomal RNA, 918 nt
Filed under: [Candida] sp. TEM39YL
Lineage: Eukaryota; Fungi; Ascomycota; Saccharomycetes; Saccharomycetales
Description: SSU rRNA
Rfam family: Eukaryotic small subunit ribosomal RNA
Source: RNAcentral